GGCCUUGACACGUAGGUUGCAAACCUAGAAUUUGCCAAUUAAUUUUGGCCGGGGCUU
Molecule: transfer RNA, 57 nt
Filed under: Hypsolebias magnificus
Lineage: Eukaryota; Metazoa; Chordata; Actinopteri; Cyprinodontiformes; Rivulidae
Description: tRNA-Cys
Source: RNAcentral